This is a long non-coding RNA of Perognathus longimembris pacificus (Pacific pocket mouse), 1690 nucleotides long. RefSeq lists it as uncharacterized. Lineage: Eukaryota; Metazoa; Chordata; Mammalia; Rodentia; Heteromyidae. The record is from RefSeq and is a predicted model, not a curated record. The transcript is spliced from 3 exons.
AAGAAGGAAGGAAGGAAGGAAGGAAGGAAGGAAGGAAGGAAGGAAGGAAGGAAGGAAGGAAGAAAGAAAGAGGUCCAGCAGAAGAUGACCCAACUUCUCUUUCUCUCCUCAUACUUCCUAGCUGUGUGACCAGGCAUAUAACCUUUCUGUAAAAUGGGAAUAGUCACAAUUGCACAUACUCUCCUUCUUUCCCAGGAUGAUUGUGAAGCUGAGUGGCAGUUGGUAGGAAAGUAAGGUGGCAGGUCAUCAUCCACUCCAAAGAUACGUUUAUCCUUCUUCUCUACUCCUCAUACACCCACCUCCAGCCCUUCCUGAUCACUACCUAAGGCCUCCUAGUGCAGACAGCACAGGGGCAGCUGGGAGGUGGAGAUGGAAGCCCUGGCCUGAUGACCACUCGUGAGUGGCAGGGUCCAUCCAGAGCUGGCAGACACCCUCCCAGCUCACGUGGAAAAGCAUGGAAGAACGUCCAGCCAACACGUGGAAACUGCUUUUUCCACUUAUGUAAUUAUCCCAGGAAGCUUGCUCUGCUAACUUUCUGCAACAGUCCCAGAAUCCUUCCUGGCUCCCUGGCCCUCUCCAAGGCUUGAGGAUCUGGCCAACUUAAAAGUGUGAAUCAAGUUCAGCUGCAAGGAACUGAGCUCCUGGAUUUCAAACGUGAAGACAUUGAGCGCCCAAGAAAGGAAGCAACUUGUACAUCCCCAGCCAUUCCUGAGGGUGCUUGGCCCUGGCAAUGAAAAAGGAAAACUACAGAAGAAGAAAAGCCACGGUCUACUGUGGCUCCAAGAGCCACAGGCAUUUCUCUGCCCUAUGAAAUGCCUCCCUCGCCCCAGCCUUCUAAGAAGGUGCUUCCAUGAAACACUCAGAACCCCUCACCGAGACAGGAACAGGACCAGGAGAGCCAGCAUGGCUUCGUGCCCGAGCACCGUCAUCUCCUGGCUGCCAGUGGAUGCAGCUUCUCAGACAAGAGUCAGUGCCCACCUGACAGGGAGGGUCCUAGGAGGUGGUCUUCUCAUGGGUGGGCAGGUAAAUGGGGAAGAAGCCACUGGGCAGGUGCUGUGUGGAGCUGGAAGUCCCCAGAGGCAAAGAGGAUGACCACUUCCUGUCUUUGGCAGGGCCAAAAGUGGCCCAGAGGCUUUCCCAGGCAGAAGCUCCAUGGGGUCACUCCUAAGCUGGAAUGUAAGGAGACUUAGGGAGGCCAGCCCUGCCCUCCACCUGUGGUGAGCAAGCCCUCUCCACACCCCCACUCAGAGGCUGGCCCCCCACCCCCACUUCCUUCUUUCUCACUCUUUUUUCUUCUUAAAGUUAAUUGCAACUUUUUUUCUCAGCGGCCUGAUCUGGAUAAACCACAUCUCAUUAGAAAAAGAUUUAGCCCGAGCCAAAGCAGGCUGGAGAAGGAAUCCCUAAUCAACAGAGAAAAGAUUUGGGUGUAAUUGCUCUCUCCCGCCAUUCUCGCCCCUCCCUCCUCCAAUCCUUUUCUGCUCAUUAAUCUGAAAAGAAAGCUGCAGUCUAAUGUCAUGGUGUUCAAGUAUCUGCUGCUGCAGCCAGCAAAUCCAAGUGCUUGGGGGCCUGGGGAAAGGGCAGCUGAGGUUGCUAGGGUGUGGAUGAAUGAAAUAUAUGGGUCACUGGGGGCUGCGGUGGAAGCACUUUUGGUUGGGGGAGUAAAGCUGUUUGGAUGUACAUGUUUGUGAGA